GGGCGCCACAGGUGUGGGGCGUGUGCGAUGGCGUGUGAUCGAAGGCCGGUAAGCUCACAGGAGUGUGCCACAGGUGUGGGGCGUGUGCGAUGGCGUGUGAUCGAAGGCCGGUAAGCUCACAGGAGUGUGCCACAGGUGUGGGGCGUGUGCGAUGGCGUGUGAUCGAAUGCCGGUAAGCUCACAGGAGGGCGUCACAGGUGUGGGGCGUGUGCGAUGGCGUGUGAUCGAAGGCCGGUAAGCUCACAGGAGGGCGUCACAGGUGUGGGGCGUGUGCGAUGGCGUGUGAUCGAAGGCCGGUAAGCUCACAGGAGGGCGUCACAGGUGUGGGGCGUGUGCGAUGGCGUGUGAUCGAAGGCCGGUAAGCUCACAGGAGGGCGUCACAGGUGUGGGGCGUGU
Molecule: long non-coding RNA, 396 nt
Filed under: Homo sapiens (human)
Lineage: Eukaryota; Metazoa; Chordata; Mammalia; Primates; Hominidae
Description: non-protein coding lnc-TMEM121B-3:3
Source: RNAcentral